AGAAAGUGAGACACUGACAGAACAGGAUUUACAGUUAUAUUGCGAUUUUCCUAAUAUUAUUGAUGUCAGUAUUAAGCAAGCAAACCAAGAGGGUUCAAAUGAAAGCCGAGUUGUAACUAUCCAUAAGCAAGAUGGUAAAAAUCUGGAAAUUGAACUUAGCUCAUUAAGGGAAGCUUUGUCUUUCGUGUCAUUAAUUGAUGGAUAUUAUAGAUUAACUGCAGAUGCACAUCAUUACCUCUGUAAAGAAGUAGCACCUCCAGCCGUGCUUGAAAAUAUACAAAGCAACUGUCAUGGCCCAAUUUCGAUGGAUUUUGCCAUUAGUAAACUGAAGAAAGCAGGUAAUCAGACUGGACUGUAUGUACUUCGAUGCAGUCCUAAGGACUUUAAUAAAUAUUUUUUGACUUUUGCUGUCGAGGUUAGUAUGUCACACUUAUUAGUGGUAACACUUUAUUUAGUUCAUUUAAUUUCCUCUCCAUAUUUAUUUACCAUAUUUCCUUUUUAAUACUGAGAAUUAUAGCUUUGGAUAUGAUAACUAGUAUAAUGCUUAAUUUCCUCAGAGAUUCUGUACAAAUAAACAAGUUAUAAUUCCCAGGGUUUAUAUAAAAAUAUAAAAUAAUUUAUAAUGUCUAUCUUUUUAUUUUGCAUUUAUUUUAUUUUCUGAUGUUUUGGUGUUACCAGUGUGUUAAAAGGUAUUUCAUCAAGUGUCUUGAUGUUUCUUUGUUUGCAAAACUGGAAAUCUUUGCCACAUCAUGUAGAACAAAAUAAAUCGGAAGCAAAUUUUCUGUUUAUUAACAGUGGUUGCAGAAUUAGAGGAAACAGAAUUAGAGAAAACUAGGUCAAUAACAAACAAAUAGAAACAUUAAAGCACUUUUAACUGAUGAUUUUCUAAUAUUUUUAAGAAUAGUGGUCUACAAUGCAUGUUUCAACGGUAAAACUGCAAUGAAACCCCACUGUUAAUACAGAUCAUUUUGGAUCUCAUCUAUGAUUAUAUACUAUCACUUAUGAGGCAAUUUCAUGGUAUAAAUCCUAAGAAACUAUAGAAGCUUGCAAAUUUAUCUUGCUUUUUUAAAACAGAGAAAAAUAAGAACUUUGUUAUUCAAUUAUUUUAAUUUUUAUAAAAUGCAACUUAUAUUUGGCAUAUGUAGAGGGUAGAUUACUUACAGAAGGGAGGUUAUGCCAUCACUUUACCUUUGUGUAAAACUGGUAAUCUAUCCUAAUUUCAAAGUAUCCUGUUACUAUAACAGAUAAUAGUACAUUAUAUUCAAGUAUGAAUUCAAAAAAAUAUAUAUAUAUAUUUUAUGUUCACUGUAUGUGCCAAGCCUAAUAUGAGAGCUAUGUAUUAUAGAGUUUAUGCUACAGCCCUACCUUCAGGAAACUUAUCUACUGGACAAACAAAAAUUUUCAAAUAUAC
RNAcentral lists this long non-coding RNA (1411 nucleotides) under Homo sapiens (human). RNAcentral describes it as "HSALNT0146271". The record is from RNAcentral. Lineage: Eukaryota; Metazoa; Chordata; Mammalia; Primates; Hominidae.